UUUGCCAGCCAGCAGCUUUUACCUGCAUUGCUUUAAAGGCUCCCAGAAUGAUAUCCUGUAACCUGUAUUGUGCUGAAGCGAUGCCACCAGUUGCUGGUUUUCCUUCAUUCCCAAAAGCCUUAGUCGUUGGGUUAUCUCCUUCUAGCACAUGCUUUCCAUGUUUAUCUUUUCCAAGGAGCGGUGUUGAAAGCUGGAAAGGAAGCGGCUGCUUCCCAGAGCUGGCGAGAUUGCAGGGAAAGCACUUGACACCCUCAUGACACUUCCUUGAAAUGGAUGCAAAACGGAAAGAUGAGCUCCUGGUUCCUGCUCAGCACCUGAUCCUGUCUCACUUCUGUGGAUCACCCUCUGGAAGUACCACCAAGUAGUGCCUCAUUCUCCUUCUAAGAAGGAAACAGGGAGCACUGUCCUGCCCUCACCACCCUCUGCAUUCCCACAGAGCAGAAGGAAGGGGAGAUGGGGCUGGAAAACCAACGGAGGAGGAAACGGGAUGGCGGUACUGAGAUCACCGCGUUACGGAUGCCAGGGAAUUCCAGGGGCACUGCAGGAGGUGAUGAGCAGUGAUUCAUGGCAUAUCUCAAACCUGGAAUCCGGAUUUCCUGGAGCAGUUUCCUGAGUUCAGCAGUGAUCUGAGCCGUGUCACCAGGUUUGUCCUCACCACCUCUCUCGCUGCAGCCGUGCAGAUUGUGCACACAGGGAAACAGCUGGACACUCCCAGAGGAAAAAUCUUUCCAAGGCACAGAAGAGCAGGACUCAGUGUCAUGUAUUUGUGAGGAAGUGUUCGGUUUUCAGGUGUUUGUGGUUCUGUGAGGAUCGUGCAGAGCCACAGAACAGCUUGGGUUGGAAGACAUUUUUAAAGACCAUCUUGUCCUGCCAUGGGCAGGGACAUCUUUCACUGGCUCAGUCACAGAUCUCCCUGGCAGAGGCUCCCAAGUCCCUCA
Corvus hawaiiensis (hawaiian crow) is the source of this 938-nucleotide long non-coding RNA. RefSeq lists it as uncharacterized. The transcript is spliced from 3 exons. The record is from RefSeq and is a predicted model, not a curated record. Lineage: Eukaryota; Metazoa; Chordata; Aves; Passeriformes; Corvidae.